This 430-nucleotide ribosomal RNA is filed under the name Pseudomonadota bacterium. Its description in RNAcentral is "Proteobacteria bacterium partial 16S ribosomal RNA". It matches the Rfam family "Bacterial small subunit ribosomal RNA", at positions 355 to 776 of the family's 1533-position model. Lineage: Bacteria; Pseudomonadati; Pseudomonadota. The record is from RNAcentral.
UGGGGAAUAUUGGACAAUGGGGGGAACCCUGAUCCAGCCAUGCCGCGUGUGUGAAGAAGGCCUUAUGGUUGUAAAGCACUUUAAGCGAGGAGGAGGGUACUGGUAUUAAUACUACCAGGUACUGGACGUUACUCGCAGAAUAAGCACCGGCUAACUCUGUGCCAGCAGCCGCGGUAAUACAGAGGGUGCGAGCGUUAAUCGGAUUUACUGGGCGUAAAGCGUGCGUAGGCGGCUAAUUGAGUCGGAUGUGAAAUCCCCGAGCUUAACUUGGGAAUUGCAUUCGAUACUGGUUAGCUAGAGUGUGGGAGAGGAUGGUAGAAUUCCAGGUGUAGCGGUGAGAUGCGUAGAGAUCUGGAGGAAUACCGAUGGCGAAGGCAGCCAUCUGGCCUAACACUGACGCUGAGGUACGAAAGAAUGGGGAGCAAACAGG